Molecule: ribosomal RNA, 633 nt
Filed under: Caulobacter sp. WD12B
Lineage: Bacteria; Pseudomonadati; Pseudomonadota; Alphaproteobacteria; Caulobacterales; Caulobacteraceae
Description: bacterial SSU rRNA
Rfam family: Bacterial small subunit ribosomal RNA
Source: RNAcentral
GUGAGCUUCGGACGGAUGCUUCGGGGUGCCUGGCGGACGGGUGAGGAACACGUGGGGAGUGCCCUUUGGUGCGGAACAACUCAUGGAAACUUGGGCUAAUACGGGAUGUGCCCUUGUGGGGAAGGAUUUAUCGGCAUUGGAGCGGCCGUCGUCUGGUUAGCUAGUUGGGGAGGUAAAGGCUCACGAAGGCGACGAUCGAUAUGUGGGCUGAGAGGAUGAUGAGCGAGUUUGGGACUGAGACACGGCCCAAACUACUACGGGAGGCAGCAGUGGGGAAUCUUGCGCAAUGGGCGAAAGCCUGACGCAGCCAUGCCGCGUGAAUGAUGAAGGUCUUAGGAUUGUAAAAUUCUUUCACCGGGGACGAUAAUGACGGUACCCGGAGAAGAAGCCCCGGCUAACUUCGUGCCAGCAGCCGCGGUAAUACGAAGGGGGCUAGCGUUGCUCGGAAUUACUGGGCGUAAAGGGAGCGUAGGCGGACUGUUUAGUCAGAGGUGAAAGCCCAGGGCUCAACCUUGGAAUUGCCUUUGAUACUGGCAGUCUUGAGUACGGAAGAGGUAUGUGGAACUCCGAGUGUAGAGGUGAAAUUCGUAGAUAUUCGGAAGAACACCAGUGGCGAAGGCGACAUACUGGUCC